GUGCCAGCCGCCGCGGUAAUACGGAGGAUGCGAGCGUUAUCCGGAUUUAUUGGGUUUAAAGGGUGCGCAGGCGGGAUUUUAAGUCAGCGGUGAAAUUUUCAGGCUCAACCUGAACACUGCCGUUGAAACUGGGAUUCUUGGGUAUGGAUGAAGUAGGCGGAAUUCCAUUGUUAGCGGUGUCAUGCUUAGAUAAAACGAGGAACUCCGAUUGCGUAGGCAGCUUACUA
Molecule: ribosomal RNA, 227 nt
Filed under: uncultured bacterium
Lineage: Bacteria
Description: partial 16S rRNA
Rfam family: Bacterial small subunit ribosomal RNA
Source: RNAcentral